Long non-coding RNA from Gopherus evgoodei (Goodes thornscrub tortoise), 290 nucleotides. RefSeq lists it as uncharacterized. NCBI's taxonomy places the organism in Eukaryota, Metazoa, Chordata, Testudines, Testudinidae. The transcript is spliced from 3 exons. The record is from RefSeq and is a predicted model, not a curated record.
UCUCAUGCUAGUAUCCCCCCAAAUGAAGUCUUUGAGGAUAAACCAUAUAAGACGGUGCUAUUCCUUUUUUGCAGUCACAGUGUACCUGAUUCUGCAGGCACCUAAGCAUGAAAGAAAACACCCCACAUUUCCAGAUGGAGAAAGCCUCUUCUCUGACAAAUGCAGCACCAUCAGUCGAUGCACAAUGUCGCUCCAGCUCACAUCUCCUGGUACAGUCGGUGGCCGGUGAUGUGUUCGAUGUAGAUGCCCUGGAGCAGCGAACCGCAGCCACUGGGAGCCGCGAUCGGCCG